Molecule: ribosomal RNA, 238 nt
Filed under: uncultured bacterium
Lineage: Bacteria
Description: partial 16S ribosomal RNA
Rfam family: Bacterial small subunit ribosomal RNA
Source: RNAcentral
GGCGCACGGGUGCGCAACGCGUAUAGAACCUACCCUGUACAGGGGAUAGCCCAGAGAAAUUUGGAUUAAUACCCCGUGGUAAAUAUAAAUGGCAUCGUUUAUAUUUUAAAGUUUUCGGAUGGUACAGGAUGGCUAUGCGUCCUAUUAGUUAGAUGGUGAGGUAACGGCUCACCAUGGCAGCGAUAGGUAGGGGCCCUGAGAGGGGGAUCCCCCACACUGGUACUGAGACACGGACCAG